This 347-nucleotide unclassified non-coding RNA is filed under the name soil metagenome. Its description in RNAcentral is "partial contains 5.8S ribosomal RNA, internal transcribed spacer 2, and large subunit ribosomal RNA". The stretch from base 1 to 120 matches the Rfam family "5.8S ribosomal RNA", at positions 35 to 154 of the family's 154-position model. The record is from RNAcentral.
GAUGAAGAACGUAGCGAAAUGCGAUAAAUAAUGUGAAUUGCAGAAUUCAGUGAAUCAUCGAGUCUUUGAACGCACAUUGCGCCCCCUGGUAUUCCGGGGGGCAUGCCUGUCCGAGCGUCAUUGCUGCCCUCAAGCACGGCUUGUGUGUUGGGCCCCCGUCCCCCCCUCCCGGGGGACGGGCCCGAAAGGCAGCGGCGGCACCGCGUCCGGUCCUCGAGCGUAUGGGGCUUUGUCACCCGCUCUGUAGGCCCGGCCGGCGCCUGCCGACCACCAUCAAUCUUUUUUCAGGUUGACCUCGGAUCAGGUAGGGAUACCCGCUGAACUUAAGCAUAUCAAUAAGCGGAGGA